Scophthalmus maximus (turbot) is the source of this 3187-nucleotide long non-coding RNA. RefSeq lists it as uncharacterized. The record is from RefSeq and is a predicted model, not a curated record. The transcript has 2 exons. NCBI's taxonomy places the organism in Eukaryota, Metazoa, Chordata, Actinopteri, Pleuronectiformes, Scophthalmidae.
AGUGGGGGUGGGGGGGGGGGGGUGUUCUGAGGAUCGGCCCGGGAUGACUAAUGGAGUUUGGGGUCAGGCAGGUCCUUGGCCACCCUGCCUACUGUCUGCCCCGCUCAGAGACACUCUAUUAAGUAGUCGCUCUGCUCCCGUAGUGGAAGAAAUCUUAUUCCGGGGGUCACCCACCCAAAACGAGGGAAAUGUUAGAAAAAACAAUAUGCUGCAAUCUGCGAGAGGCAAUAAGCUUCACUGGCCCCCGGCUCACAAUAACAUACCGCGUUCGUGAGGUUCACAUGGUUGUUUAUCAGCGCCAAUAACUCAACGUGAUUAAACUCAGAGCUUCAACUUUUCUUUCGGCCCCAAAAGCUCCUCGGCGCUGUUCACACCGGAGCCUCGCUCACUGUGGAAGUGGAAGAAGUCUGGCAAAGAUCGAGUGGUUUAUUACAAUCCCGGCGGGGGGGGGGGGGGGCCGCAGUGGUCUGCCCUGUCGCCAGUGCAACACGGAAAAAGGUGCGUUCACACCGGACGCGUUGCCAAAAUUUUCCCGGCGGGUAGAUCAGAUACAGAGUCAACGCAAAGACGCAAACUAGAUGUGAAUUUGUCGCGGCACUGACUCCUGGUGCGAUGCGCGCGAUGCAAAGUCAGGCCAAAUUCGCUGGGCGUCCAUCGCUCGGGGUUGAAGUAUCUGAACUCGGGGCGACGUAUUUGGCGAUAUCGAGCGUUGAGAGCCUCCCUCCGUCACCUGGCGUCAGGCGGCCUGUCCGUGUGUCAGGAGUGGGGACUGCACUCAAGUCGAAAGAUUUGAAUUUGAGGGCAGAUGCUCUUGAUGACGUGAAACGAAAGCCAUUUAGCGUUGAGAUCCUCCCGACGUCACCGCCUGCUCCAGGGUCGUUUCAAUUCACUCUCCCUGCGCUCAUAGCGCUGUAUUCAGCAGUCGACAUCGACAGACGAGUUUAUAGCAGCUAGCUGGUGUUAAAACUCACUGGAUCAUUCAGCCGCGGAAGAGCCAGAUAUUUCCCCGGGUAUAGCCAGAGACACACAAACGUGUAAAUCAUCUGCGAGGUCAACGUGUCAACUUCAGAAAUACGCGGCCGUGUUCACAACCUCGUUUCUGCUGCCCCCUAGUGGUAAAACAAAAACAUAUGCGGCCUGCAGUUUAGUAACUGAACAUAGGGAACGUUUCCACUCUCCUAUAGCUGAGAAGGGAGGAUUUACAAAAAGUGAAGUUCAAUACGACAGAGAGAACGGUGGAAUGACAACACACACACACACACACACACACACACACUGGUCUCCUGGCUGUCAAUCAGUUUUUAAUCUGAAAGACGAAGAAGACGGCGACGAAGACGGAGACAGAUGCAACCGGGGACUGAGAUCAGCCGUCCGCUAAUCUCCGGGCGAGAGACACUGAGCGAGAGACUGACAGCGAGGGAGAGCGAGUUUGUCUUUUCCGCCGCCCGCUCGUCUCGCCUCGCCGCUGUUACCAUGACAAUGGGCCGAACCCAGGAGUGGAGGGCUUGAGAUUCUCCCCGUUUCCCUGCUCUCUCUCUCUCUCUCUUCGACCCCCCCCCCGGUAAGCUCUCACUACCUCCCCCUCGUUUCCUCCGGUCAAACCUUUUACUUUUAUGUCAUCCCUAUUUUCCAUCCUUCCCUCCUUUAUAUUUCCCCGCUCACCUGGUCCUCCCUUCCAUCCCUGGCGUCCAGAUUCAAAUUUGGAAAUGUUGCCUCAUUGACAAAACCACAAUCAGCCGCCGCAUCGGCACAAAGUGGACGGCACAGAAGCGCGCGGCGCCGGCCGAGGCUCCCAUCGAUGCCGUUUCCUCAUUUCAUUCCGGACGCCGAGAGCAACAAGUACGCGAGGAUGUCAAAUAAAGAAAUAUGUUGAUUAAGAGAAUUGAAUGAGGAAAAUAAACUCCCCCCCCCCCCCCCAGAAAAUGAAUUACACAUCAUGGUCAACUCAUAGUUUUCAUAUCGCCACACACAAACGGUGAUUCAGUCAGUGAAAGGCUCACGUGGGGCGACUUUCAUCGGAAAGCCUUUGUCCCGCCCCCCAAAUGAAUUCCUCCAAACUUUGCGAUAAAAUAACUUGUUUGUCGCCGCCGACCACGACAGCCUGUGACGCCCCCGAGGAAGAUGCUAUGUCGAGUGAGGAGCGCGUGACGGCAGAAUAAAACAUAUGUCCCCUGUGUCGACAGGCGACGACGACGACGAUGUCAGGGAAGAAACAACAUAACGCCGCUGCUUCAGGAAAGGAGAUGGACUAUACGGGAGAAUCCCUAUACCGCUCUUGCUCCGCACACCGGCCUUCUUUCUCCUUAUUAGCGGCUCUUCUCACUCGAAGGCUUUCCACACGACUGGCCGCGGGAGUUAAUGUCGCCACAGCCUUCCUUAAGUAGAAGAAAGGUUUGGAACGCAGGGGAAAGGAAUUGGUGGUAUCGCUCCGUCAACCCCUUUCCAGUUUCAUCCGUCAGUCAAGGCAGUUAUCCUCCCGUUAAGACCGCGGACCGACCCCGAGGCUUGAUAUUCUGACACAGAGUGAGAAUCGAUACGGCGCACACACUGUAGUUAUCACAGCCGGGGGUUCGGCUGCUCACAAAGAGCUCCCACCGCUUGACUGGCACCACAAAGGGUCCGUACGCCGUCCGUAGCGCGCGGUGAGUCCACAUGUAGUCGGUUCCACAUCGUUCAUUCAGGCUGGAUCUGGCCACCGUGUCUCGGUACGUCACACGUUUGAGCUGCUUCGCAUAGGUUGCGAGUUCCGAAAUAGAUGAUGGAUGGCUACUGUGGGGUUGCCGAUCGAUUUGUCAACGCAACAGUUGAAAUUUAAAAAAUUCCUUCUCUUUUAACCGAUCAAUACUUCUCUUAUGGCCUGCCAAUAUUAGACGGGUCAAACUAGUCUAAACACUUCUCAUGAGCGUCAUUCCUUUCCCCUCGUCUGUCCAUUUGUAUUCAUGUAUAUGUAUAAUAUUAUGGGAUGGAUGUUUUGUUUUUUUAUUGUGUUUAUUACAUGAGUCCUUGGCAUCAUUUUCUGUGAUCUGAAGGUCGGACAGUGCUACUUGUUGAGUCCCUGUGAGGGUUUUCUUUGCGUCAGUUCUCCCUCACAUCCCCUUGUCUUCUGUUCAAUGUAUCAUUUCACAUCUUUUUUUCCCAACACGUGUAAAUAAAGAAAACAGCACGGACGCACAAGGACCGAAAGAUA